CACCAGAGAGGGCUCUAAAUUAUGGCAGAGCGAAGGUGCCCAGGGAGGAUAGAAAAGGCAACCUUCCCGGAAGCUGAAUUGAAAAGUGUUUGUAACUAACUAAAUGAGAUGUAUCUAGAGAUAGAGAUACUGUUUAAGAACCCACAUCAGUAGCGGAGCAUGAAUAUAGAGCAUUGCCAAGGGUGAGUCUCCUACCUGGUAUCAUGAAGACAUUAGAGUGAACAAUCGACUGGCAAAAUCCCUUCUUUGUAAACUUGCUGUUCAGACAAGAUCACACUAGGGCACACAAAGAAGUUUUUACCAGGUGAACCAGAAGAACUAGCCUGCUUUUCCUAAGCUGAAAAAUGAGGUGAUAUAUAAAGAGCCACUAUACAGAUAUUUUGGCUCCUGCAUCAGAUUCUGCUCUCACAUCUGUGCAGGCCCUUCAGAGAUACUCAUUCCAGUAAACAUGUAAAGAUGAAGAACUUCUAUUGGAAGCAGCAAUUGAAGAUGCCACCAGAUCCCUGAAAAACAAUAGUGCAGCUGGUCAAGAUACUAUGCAGCCUGAAAUGCUAAGACAUGAUGGCAGAGGCAUGGCCAUGCUCCUUUGCAAACUAGUUAAUCUCAUUUGGAUGAAGGGUGAAUCCUUGAAGACUGUCACUGCUCAGACGUUGUACCAUUCUUUAAGAAAUGUGAGCUGAAAGAUUGUGAUAAC
This is a long non-coding RNA of Mauremys reevesii (Reeves's turtle), 694 nucleotides long. RefSeq lists it as uncharacterized. The record is from RefSeq and is a predicted model, not a curated record. Lineage: Eukaryota; Metazoa; Chordata; Testudines; Geoemydidae. The transcript has 3 exons.